AUUGAGCGCUGGCGGCAUGCCUUACACAUGCAAGUCGAACGGCAGCACGGGAGCAAUCCUGGUGGCGAGUGGCGAACGGGUGAGUAAUAUAUCGGAACGUGCCCAGUCGUGGGGGAUAACGUAGCGAAAGCUACGCUAAUACCGCAUACGAUCUAUGGAUGAAAGCGGGGGAUCGCAAGACCUCGCGCGAUUGGAGCGGCCGAUAUCAGAUUAGGUAGUUGGUGGGGUAAAAGCCUACCAAGCCUUCGAUCUGUAGCUGGUCUGAGAGGACGACCAGCCACACUGGAACUGAGACACGGUCCAGACUCCUACGGGAGGCAGCAGUGGGGAAUUUUGGACAAUGGGCGCAAGCCUGAUCCAGCAAUGCCGCGUGCAGGAUGAAGGCC
This 386-nucleotide ribosomal RNA is filed under the name uncultured bacterium. RNAcentral's name for it is "bacterial SSU rRNA". It matches the Rfam family "Bacterial small subunit ribosomal RNA", at positions 30 to 416 of the family's 1533-position model. The record is from RNAcentral.